GAACUGCUGGAACUUCCUCAUUCUUCUGAGAGAAGCCUAACGGGACAGACGCAAACGUUAUCCUGCCGUAUCUUGUCUCCUGUUUUACAGAACGUCAAACUCCUGUUUAUUCUUCAGUUCCAGUGAUCCAUCGUCAGAGUGAUCAUUGUCAGAGUGAUCCAUCGUCAGGGUGAUCCAUCGUCAGAGUGAUUCAUCGCCAGAGUGAUCAUCGUCAGAGCGAUCCAUCGUCAGAGCGAUCCAUCGUCAGAGCGAUCAUCGUCAGAUUCAAAUGGCUUCAAAUAACAAAAAGAUGAAAAUGUCUGAACCUCAUAAUUACAAGGAAGAACACUGUCACCGAUUCUCCUCUUUCUAGCGGAGACACAGCCCUGAUAUAUAAAGGGGAAAUCACCUGUACCGAACCUGGCAACAUAAUAGAAGUUCUCAAAAGAAAUGAGAUCUUCUGUAAACUAAUGAAAAAGGUGAAGGGAGAGAAGUGUCAUUGUGAAUGAAAAAGGGCCAUAGUGGAGCACUUUCCAUGUUGCUUAAUUAAGAAAGAUGAGACCCUCGUUAUAUACACUUUCCCUAAAACUAAAACACCGGCCAUAGAUGGGAAAAGGGAACUUGAACAGGGAAAAGAACUUGAACAGGGAAAAGAACUUGCACAGGGAAAGAGCAACAGGAAAAAUCCACAUUUGUCACUUUCUGUUUGAGGUAACAGGUGGGAAAAUAUCACAAGCAAGGAGAUACUUAAACACCAAAAACGUAAGAAUUUUAGCCCUCUGUGUAUCUAUGCAAAAUCUGGGGAUACAGUCAAGUCAGCUCUGGAAGCAGAUGGGCUUUCUCAGACAUAGUGUUUGAAAAAACAUGUACACUUUGUGAGGAACCCCAAAAAAACAAAUAUUACUAUGUCCACUGUAGUAAACAAGCUAGAAGAUCGCAGAUUUCAAAUUUUCCUAAAGGAACCGACAAACAGAAAGGUGCUUGGCACCACAAAAUCAAAGAUUUCUGACACAAGAUUCAAAUCUGAGGGUGACACCACACAACCCUCUCAGUCCAACCCAAGUUCAACAUCAGAGGGCCUCUCAGUCCAACCCAAGUUCAACAUCAGGAGGGGCCCUCAGUGGGAAUAUGACACAGAAGCGACAGGCAAAUAAGAAACAAAAACAUUCCAUGCCAGAUUCGAGGGAAAUUCAGCAGAUCUUAUGCGACCAGUUUAAAGGUUUACUAGAUCACAUGAAGAGUAGGUAUCCACAGGAGAAAUCUGAGUCUGAAGUGAUAGAGUUGAUGAGGGAGGAAUUUGUGUAAGAAACCGGAGAGUUUUACUGAAGUGUACAGGUUAACAGAGCUGGCAGAAGUGACCACCUCAGUCUGUAAAGUCGAACACGAAUUGAUCGAAGGAACAGGUUUCCUGCUGUUCGAUAACCUCAUCCUGACAAAUGGUCAUUUGUUCAAGGAUAAAGGUGUACUUCAGGGAAAGACAACUGUUGGUUCCCACAACUGUCACGUUUAAUUUUGACAACGCACUUGGAUCAGGUCAGUGGAAGGUAAAUGUUAAACCAGAAGUGGUUGCCCUCCAAUAUGGAGUUGAUAGGUGGGGGCGUCAGGUGACUAUGCCAUACUGAGCUGAGUACCCCGUUAAAAGGCAAGAAAAUUUCCUCCAGGUCUCCUUCAGAAGUAUGGCCCAGUCCCUCAGACAGGUGGGAUCUACAUCGUUGGCCAUCCAGAUGGAGGGAUUAAAAAGAUGGACUCCACGACCAUAAUAGAGGUGGAACAAAGAAAUGCAGCUGAGAUCAAACAUUUAGGAGAAACCAGAGCUCCAUCAUGAUAAUCAAAGAAGCAUUUUGGGUAAUGAGUUGGACAAAGAGUUUUAUGAGCAGAUAAUACAGGGCAAACUGGAUGUGCUGACCUAUAACACCUUCUGCUUUAAUGGAGCCUCUGGGUCUCCGGUUAUAAAUCCCAGUCAUUGUCAAGUAAUUAAUGGCAUCCCAGUAUAUGGUUGCCAGGUGAUUGCCAUGCAUACUGCUGGCUUUUCUUACAAAUGUAAGGGAACUCAUGAAACUCACAGUGUGAUUGAAUAUGCAAUCCCUCUCAGGACCAUUCUAGAAAACGUAUUGUUCUACUUGGUGGAGACAAACAAUCUUCAAAUGUUGUCAAGAUUCACCAAUGUGCCAUAAAACCCACAUCUGUUUCAGCUCAUUGCCUGUCUUAUCAUUGAGAUGGUGCCACAUUGCAGCCUGAAUACUCUGAUAUCCUUAAGGGAAUAUGGAACACAAUAUCACGAAGUCGUAAAAGAGAUGAGAUGCAAAAUUGAUCAUUGACAUAAGUGCAGGUACAUCAGGGAUUGGAUUGAGGUGCUGAACUGUGUUUUAACAGAAGUUGGGGUGGAUCUGGCUGCAGAUGUCACCUGUGAGUUGGGAAGCAGCUUUAGGCCAUUUAAAUCCCCCCCCCCCC
Molecule: long non-coding RNA, 2430 nt
Organism: Salvelinus sp. IW2-2015
Lineage: Eukaryota; Metazoa; Chordata; Actinopteri; Salmoniformes; Salmonidae
Source: RefSeq, a predicted model, not a curated record